This 837-nucleotide long non-coding RNA is filed under the name Phasianus colchicus (ring-necked pheasant). RNAcentral's name for it is "lncRNA (ENSPCLG00000012333.1)". Lineage: Eukaryota; Metazoa; Chordata; Aves; Galliformes; Phasianidae. The record is from RNAcentral.
AAAUUGUGCUGAUCAUGGCCUCCUACCUACUGGUCUGCAAAUGGGACUACGCCAUGCUGAGCUGCUUCUGAGUACAGCAAUUCCACUGAUGCUGACCAUCACUGACUGUGUUAGCUGCUUCGUUAUCCCAGGAAUGUGCCUGGAGAAGUGAGUACCAGGAGGGAACUGUGGCGAUAAGAGGGGUAACUCUCUUGGCUUAGUGUACAGCUCUUUGACCUCUGUCAUUGCCUGCAGCUUUCUCCAAUUUGAUGGGUUGGCGUAGAUGAUCUUAGUGGUCUCUUCCAUUCUUAAUGAUUCUAUGAUUCUAAUUCUGAGAUACCUCUAGGGCAGAGCACUGUGGAAAUCCCUGCUAUGGUCAUUUGAACACUGCAUGUGUUAAUCCAACAGCUGUACAACAGGAUUUCUUGUGCCUCUCUCCAAGCCGUGGUGGGAGUGGAGUGGCAACCUGGUCACUGACAGCCAAGAAGCAGGGCUAGAGCUUUGGUUAGGUGGGGUUUGUGCUACUUGUUUGUACUUAUAUCUCAUAAAUUCAAACAUUUAGGAGAGUGCAGCAACAUCUGGAGGAUGGUGAAUUGCUACAGUGAGAAAAACUGGAUGAUCUAAAACAGCAUGGCCAGUCCUAGGAAGCUGAGCUGGAAGGAUCAUUUGGGCAUUUCUUCUGCUGCAGGUGGACCAGCAUGGCUGUCGGCUGGGCUCCUCAUGUCUACAGAAGGAAGAGCUAUUGAGUGGUUAUAGCUGAAAGCCUUGCCUGUCUAAGGAAAUGUCAGCAACAUAUUGAAGGUAAUGUAAUUUUGAUGCCAUUCCCUCUAUUUGUAGAACCAAAGGGUGAAUAAGAGA